GAUGAACGCUGGCGGCGUGCUUAAUACAUGCAAGUCGAGCGAACAGACGCGGAGUUUGCUCCUUUGUCGUUUGCCGCGGACGGGUGUGUAACAUGUGGAUAACCUACCUAUCUGACUGGGAUAAUCUCGGGAAACCGGAGCUUAUACCGGAUAAUAUAUUGAUCCGUAUGGUUCAUUAGUGAAUGUCGGUUUUGCUGUCUCUUAUAGAUGGUUACCAGCCGCUUUAGCUAGUUGGUAAGGUAACGGCGUAUCAAGGCAACGAUGCGUAGCCGACGUGCGAGAGUGAUCGGCCACACGGGAACUGAGACAGGGUCCAGAGGCCUACGAGAGGCAGCAGAAGGGAAUCUGCCGCAAUAGGCGAAAGCCUGACAGAGCGACGCCGCGUGAGUGAUAAAGAUGUUCGGAUCGUAAAACUCUGUUAUGAGGGAAAAACAAAUGUGUAAGGAACUAUAGAGGGCUUGACGGUAACUAAUCAAAAAGCCACGGCUAACUACGUG
Molecule: ribosomal RNA, 497 nt
Filed under: uncultured bacterium
Lineage: Bacteria
Description: partial 16S ribosomal RNA
Rfam family: Bacterial small subunit ribosomal RNA
Source: RNAcentral